Molecule: ribosomal RNA, 497 nt
Filed under: uncultured bacterium
Lineage: Bacteria
Description: partial 16S ribosomal RNA
Rfam family: Bacterial small subunit ribosomal RNA
Source: RNAcentral
GAUGAACGCUGGCGGCGUGCCUAAUACAUGCAAGUCGAGCGAACAGACGAUGAGCUUGCUCCUCUGACGUUAGCGGCUGACGGGUGAGUAACACGUGGAUAACCUACUUCUAUUACUUGGAUAACUUCGGGAAACCGGAUCUAAUACCGGAUAAUAUAUUGAACCGCAUGGUUCAAUAGUGAAAGACGGCUUUGCUGUCACUUAUAGACGGAUCCGCGCCGCAUUAGCUAGUUGGUAAGGUAACGGCCUACCAAGGCAACGAUGCGUAACCGAGCUGAGAAGGUGGUCCGCCAACACGGAACUGGGACACGGUCCCAAAUCCUAAGGGAGGCAACAGUAGGGAAUCAUCCGCAAUUGGCGGAAACCUGACGGCACAACGCCGCGUGGGUGAUGGAGGUCUUCGGAGCGGAAAACUCUGUUAGUAGGGAAGAAAAAGUGUGAAAGUAACUCUGCGCGGUUUGACGGUAACUAAUAAGAUAGGCACGGCUAACUACGUG